CUCGUAGGUGGCCAACUAAGUCAGACGUGAAAUCCCUCAGCUUAACUGGGGAACUGCGUCUGAUACUGGAUGGCUUGAGUUUGGGAGAGGGAUGCGGAAUUCCAGGUGUAGCGGUGAAAUGCGUAGAUAUCUGGAGGAACACCGGUGGCGAAGGCGGCAUCCUGGACCAAUACUGACACUGAGGAGCGAAAGCCAGGGGAGCAAAC
Molecule: ribosomal RNA, 206 nt
Filed under: uncultured bacterium
Lineage: Bacteria
Description: partial 16S ribosomal RNA
Rfam family: Bacterial small subunit ribosomal RNA
Source: RNAcentral